AUCCACUUGGUGGUUACCGCAGGACAACGGAAGCUCGCACGGUCAUCGAUCCUGGUCGUCGGAGCCGGAGUUUUGGGCUCGCCCGUGUCAAUGUAUCUGGCUGCUUGUGGUGUCGGUAAAAACAAUUGUCGUUCAUCACCCAUCACUGUUAGUUUCUCUCUUUUUGGUUUGAUUUAGAAAUCAGUGACUACUAUUUCUUUUACAACAAAAGGUGCUCAUCAGGUAUAUCAAUUAUCAUACCGGUUCAUUUGGAAGGGAGUUCAUUACUGAUGAGGAACGUUGGAACAACUAUUUUGACUCUGUGCUCGAUGAUGCCUUUUUUUUCCUUAAUUAACUGGCCAUGAAUUGAUUUGCGGCUUGGUGUACUUUGUUAGUUUGCUUAGGUAUUGUUGAUGGCGAUCAAGUUGAAAAAAAUAAGAUUAUCAUUUAGUGUACUUCUAUUAGGUGCUUCAAAACUCAAUGCCGUAUCAUACAGUGUAUACAAAAGUGUGAAUCGAGUAGCAGGAACCUUUUGUGGAUUUUUUGCUGAAACUCAUAUAUGUGAUAUUUUAGAAUUUAGAAUUUACAGUCUCCUGACAAAGAGGACGGCUCAUCUUCACCUGAUAUGCCUGUUCCCGAAGUUUUGAAUUCCAUCAUGCGAGUGGUGUUGUGCUGCGACCCAUCCUCCUCUUCGAUUUCCGCUGAAACCCCUCCUCGACGGAAUGCUAACCGGAAGGGUUUGUCAUGCCUAGAAGUUGGCCAAGAAUUCGAUAUCAACCCUUUACAGCUAAUAACAGAUCAAUCACCAGCAAAAAGGCAACUCGGCACUAGCUAACAGAUCAGUCAGUAGGGAUGCAUGUUCACCACUCCAUUCCCGAGUAAUAACGUUGUGAAGAUCGAUCAGUUGCUAUCGCGUGAUCUGUCAGGUUUAGAGGCCCAGCCCAACUUGAGAGGCUUCGCUGAAACAUGUUGAAACCAACCUGAGAAUGCAGUAUGCACGACAUGGCAAGAUGGAGAUCGACUGAGGCAGAGGCGCCUAGCAUCAUUUCUCUUUAAUGGACCCUUCCAUCGGCCAUAUGUUGUCAACUCUAGUAGUCCUCCUUUGGGAGCAAAGCUAUGUUGGUAGCUGCUAAAAACAAGACAUCAUCAGUUGACGUGUAUUCAUGAUCUCACCAAUUACUAAACCAAGGCCGCGGUCGUUUCG
Molecule: long non-coding RNA, 1183 nt
Organism: Oryza brachyantha (malo sina)
Lineage: Eukaryota; Viridiplantae; Streptophyta; Magnoliopsida; Poales; Poaceae
Exons: 3
Source: RefSeq, a predicted model, not a curated record